RNAcentral lists this ribosomal RNA (462 nucleotides) under uncultured bacterium. RNAcentral describes it as "SSU rRNA". It matches the Rfam family "Bacterial small subunit ribosomal RNA", at positions 26 to 518 of the family's 1533-position model. The record is from RNAcentral.
AGGAUUAACGCUGGCGGCGUGCCUAACACAUGCAAGUCGAACGAGGUAGCAAUACCUAGUGGCAGACGGGUGAGUAACGCGUGGUCAACCUACCGUUGAGUGGGGGAUAACUAGCCGAAAGGUUAGCUAAUACCGCAUACGAGUCUCGGGGGCAUCCCUGGGCCUUAAAAGGAGCAAUCCGCUCGAUGACGGGACCGCGUCCCAUUAGCUAGAUGGUGGGGUAAUGGCCUACCAUGGCUCCGAUGGGUAGCUGGUUUGAGAGAGCGACCAGCCACACUGGGACUGAGAAACGGCCCAGACUCCUACGGGAGGCAGCAGUGAGGAAUUUUCCGCAAUGGGCGAAAGCCUGACGGAGCGACGCCGCGUGUGGGAAGAAGGCCUUCGGGUCGUAAACCACUGUCGAAGGGGACGAUAAUGACGGUACCCUUGGAGGAAGCCCGGCUACUACGCGCCAGCAGCCGC